AUUGAACGCUGGCGGCAGGCUUAACACAUGCAAGUCGAACGAGUGGCGGACGGGUGAGUAAUGUCUGGGAAACUGCCUGAUGGAGGGGGCUAACUACUGGAAACGGUAGCUAAUAACGCAUACCAUCAGAUGUGCCCAGGUGGGAUUAGCUAGUAGGUGGGGUAAUGGCGCACCUAGGCGACGAUCACUAGCUGGUCUGAGAGGAUGACCAGCCACACUGGAACUGAGACACGGUCCAGACUCCUACGGGAGGCAGCAGUGGGGAAUAUUGCACAAGGGGCGCAAGCCUGAUGCAGCCAUGCCGCGUGUAUGAAGAAGGCCUUCGGGUUGUAAAGUACUUUCAGCGGGUAGGCGUUACUCGCAGAAGAAGCACCGGCUAACUCCGUGCCAGCAGCCGCGGUAAUUC
RNAcentral lists this ribosomal RNA (406 nucleotides) under uncultured bacterium. Its description in RNAcentral is "partial 16S ribosomal RNA". It matches the Rfam family "Bacterial small subunit ribosomal RNA", at positions 30 to 526 of the family's 1533-position model. The record is from RNAcentral.